RNAcentral lists this ribosomal RNA (433 nucleotides) under uncultured bacterium. Its description in RNAcentral is "partial 16S ribosomal RNA". It matches the Rfam family "Bacterial small subunit ribosomal RNA", at positions 29 to 507 of the family's 1533-position model. The record is from RNAcentral.
AGCGAACGCUGGCGGCAGGCCUAACACAUGCAAGUCGAACGAACUCUUCGGAGUUAGUGGCGGACGGGUGAGUAACACGUGGGAACGUGCCUUUAGGUUCGGAAUAACUCAGGGAAACUUGUGCUAAUACCGAAUGUGCCCUUCGGGGGAAAGAUUUAUCGCCUUUAGAGCGGCCCGCGUCUGAUUAGCUAGUUGGUGAGGUAAAGGCUCACCAAGGCGACGAUCAGUAGCUGGUCUGAGAGGAUGAUCAGCCACAUUGGGACUGAGACACGGCCCAAACUCCUACGGGAGGCAGCAGUGGGGAAUCUUGCGCAGUGGGCGAAAGCCUGACGCAGCCCUGCCGCGUGAAUGAUGAAGGUCUUAGGAUUGUAAAAUUCUUUCACCGGGGAAGAUAAUGACGGUACCUGGAGAAGAAGCCCCGGCUAACUACGUG